Molecule: ribosomal RNA, 254 nt
Filed under: uncultured bacterium
Lineage: Bacteria
Description: partial 16S ribosomal RNA
Rfam family: Bacterial small subunit ribosomal RNA
Source: RNAcentral
GACGAACCGUGCGAACGUUGUUCGGAAUCACUGGGCUUAAAGGGCGCGUAGGCGGCAGUUCAAGUCCGGGGUGAAAUCCUCCAGCUCAACUGGAGAAGUGCCUUGGAUACUGGAUUGCUCGAGGGAGGUAGGGGUCGAGGGAACUUCUGGUGGAGCGGUGAAAUGCGUUGAUAUCAGAAGGAACGCCGGUGGCGAAAGCGCUCGACUGGACCUCUUCUGACGCUGAGGCGCGAAAGCUAGGGGAGCAAACGGGG